GAGGUCUCAAGCGUUGUUCGGAUUCAUUGGGCGUAAAGGGUGCGUAGGCGGCGCGGUAAGUCGGGUGUGAAAUCUCGGAGCUUAACUCCGAAACUGCAUUCGAUACUGCCGUGCUUGAGGACUGGAGAGGAGACUGGAAUUUACGGUGUAGUGGUGAAAUGCGUAGAUAUCGUAAGGAAGACCAGUGGCGAAGGCGGGUCUCUGGACAGUUCCUGACGCUGAGGCACGAAGGCCAGGGGAGCAAACGGGAUUAGAUACCCCGGUAGUCCUGGCAGUAAACGGUGCACGUUUGGUGUGGGAGGAUUCGACCCCUUCUGCGCCGGAGCUAACGCGUUAAACGUGCCGCCUGGGGAGUACGGUCGCAAGAUUAAAACUCAAAGAAAUUGACGGGGGCCCGCACAAGCGGUGGAGUAUGUGGCUCAAUUCGAUGCAACGCGAAGAACCUUACCUGGCCUUGACAUGCAUCUCUAAGCGCGUGAAAGCGCGUGAGUCCCGAAAGGGACAAUUUGCACAGGUGCUGCAUGGCUGUCGUCAGCUCGUGUCGUGAGAUGUUGGGUUAAGUCCCGCAACGAGCGCAACCCCUGUGAACUGUUGCCACCGAGCCGUGAGGCUCGAGCACUCUGUUCAGACUGCCCCGCUCUAACGGGGAGGAAGGUGGGGACGUCGUCAAGUCAGUAUGGCCCUUACGGCCAGGGCUGCACACGUACUACAAUGCCCAGUACAGAAGGAUCCUAGACCGCGAGGUGGAGGAAAUCACUAAAACUGG
This 766-nucleotide ribosomal RNA is filed under the name uncultured Spartobacteria bacterium. Its description in RNAcentral is "bacterial SSU rRNA". It matches the Rfam family "Bacterial small subunit ribosomal RNA", at positions 528 to 1285 of the family's 1533-position model. The record is from RNAcentral. Lineage: Bacteria; Pseudomonadati; Verrucomicrobiota; Spartobacteria.